This 1375-nucleotide long non-coding RNA is filed under the name Scleropages formosus (Asian bonytongue). RNAcentral's name for it is "lncRNA (ENSSFOG00015024358.1)". Lineage: Eukaryota; Metazoa; Chordata; Actinopteri; Osteoglossiformes; Osteoglossidae. The record is from RNAcentral.
UGCAGCUGGAGGUGAGGCUCAAACCUACAACCUUUCCAAAAGCAGUUGUUCUAACCACCACAGUACCAGCUGCCCCUACUGCAUACUUCCUUACUACAUAGUCUUUAUAUAUAUACAACGACGUAAUAUUUUACAUACAUAAUGCUUUACUAUACACACUUGCAAUACGGGCGUGGCGAGCGCGCGCUUUCGCGCGACUGAUUCGCAGCCAGAUUAAAGACGGAGGGAAAUCAACCAUGAGGUGGGGGCAGGGGUCACAUGUCCCGUUCAUCGCGUUGACGCUUAGAAUCUGCAUUUAUUUAAAAAAAAAAAAAAUUGUACGAAGGUUAUCAGGAUUCAUUUGUCCUGCGUUUUUUUGCACCUGCCUGCAUCAAGUGGAAAAGAUGUUUCUGCAGCAAAGCACAUACGCGUUGUAAUAAGUGGCUAAAAACAAUAACAUAACAUCAGAAAAAAAGAUCGAGGACGACAGGGGUGUGCGGAAUGAGAAUGUGUGAAAAAAAGAGCUCCAAAAUAACCAAUAACUGAGUUAAAGACAGAGCUGCAGGUAAACUAUGAAGGCAACUUGCACUCGAUUAUCGAUACGGAUUGUGUAACUUGUUUGCACGGUGUCAACUGAGUGCAAAUGGAAGUGAGUUGCAGUAAUUAUGUAUUAAGCCCUCGUCUCAUCAUUUAAAAAACGAAUUGCAGUCAGUCAUUCGCAGACAAGUCGCGUUUUGUUUUGUUUUCUUCGUGUGUUAUAGUGCAUUUGGAUCAAUGGACUGGCACUUGUACUAAUCUUCCAAUCUGAGCUCAAUCGGAGAGAACUGAGGAGCUCGUCGUGCCCAGGAGUGCACGAAAUUCAUAUUCAUACUCAUACUGUCCGCAGUGAUUCUUAUGAGGUGACCAACAAGGCGGCGGAGACCAGUCAGUGUCCUACUGAGGGGACUAAUUAUGUUUUACUGUGUUUUACCGUUUUCCUGAGAAACAAUGUGGGCUUAACUGCAUGCCUCAGGUUGUAUUUUACCUAUCUUGAGAAAUUAAAAUGGAUAUAUAUAAGCCACUUUUCCACUAGAGUUCGUUUUUGAAAAUGUAUUUCUCUUUAAUUUACAACACGGAGUAGCGUCUUUGGGCGUAGACAGUGCCGUAACUAAGAGUUCUAGUGUUUCACUGCUCAGGACCACUACUAACUAACUAACUGACGAACUGGGCUGGGAGUGACAGUGAGUCCCGCUCCGCCAUGCAGGUGUCUCACUUAAUCUGUAUACUUGGACAUACUUUUUUUUUUUUUUUUUUUUUUUAAUUUACAUUUUUUUAAAUAUAAUUAAUAUGCUUUGUUGCGUCGAGCGUGUGCGUUUUGCAGGGUGUUUGAACGAGGUGUGACGUGGUGUGAGGAAAC